This 511-nucleotide ribosomal RNA is filed under the name uncultured bacterium. RNAcentral's name for it is "bacterial SSU rRNA". It matches the Rfam family "Bacterial small subunit ribosomal RNA", at positions 28 to 526 of the family's 1533-position model. The record is from RNAcentral.
GAUGAACGCUGGCGGCGUGCCUAAUACAUGCAAGUCGAACGCAUGACAAGUGCUUGCACUUGUUGUGAGUGGCGAACGGGUGAGUAAUACAUAAAUAAUCUGCCUUUAUGAGGGGGAUAACUGCCGGAAACGGUGGCUAAGACCGCAUAGUUAAUGGAUGGGCAUCUAUCCAUUAUUAAAAGAGCUUCGGCUCUGCAUAAAGAUGAGUUUAUGGCGCAUUAGCUAGUUGGUGGGGUAACGGCCUACCAAGGCAACGAUGCGUAGCCGGCCUGAGAGGGUGAACGGCCACACUGGGACUGAGACACGGCCCAGACUCCUACGGGAGGCAGCAGUAGGGAAUUUUCGGCAAUGGGGGGAACCCUGACCGAGCAACGCCGCGUGAAGGAAGAAGGUCUUCGGAUUGUAAACUUCUGUUAUAUGGGAAGAAUAAGUUUAAUAGGAAAUGAUUAGAUGAUGACGGUACCAUAUCAGAAAGCCACGGCUAACUACGUGCCAGCAGCCGCCGUAACAC